AAGCCAAGUGAUCGCGCGAAUAUUCGCGAGGAAAGUCCGAGCUCCGCAGGACAGAGUGCCGGAUAACACCCGGUGAAGGCGACUUCAAGGAAAGUGCAACAGAAAUAAACCGCCGCUUUUGCGGUAAGGAUGGAAAGGCGGGGUAAGAGCCCACCGACGCUUCGGCGACGAAGCGUGCCCUGUAAACCCCACUCGGAGCAAGAUUGAAAUGGGAGCAUUCAAUGGCUGUCCGUCACGCUCCCCGUAAUCGCUCGAGCAUACAGGUAACUGUAUGCCCAGAUAGAUGAUCACAUAAACAGAACUCGGCUUACGGCUUGCU
RNAcentral lists this RNase P RNA (319 nucleotides) under bovine gut metagenome. RNAcentral describes it as "Bacterial RNase P class A". It matches the Rfam family "Bacterial RNase P class A". From Rfam's summary of the family: Ribonuclease P (RNase P) is a ubiquitous endoribonuclease, found in archaea, bacteria and eukarya as well as chloroplasts and mitochondria. The record is from RNAcentral.